This 57-nucleotide transfer RNA is filed under the name Canis lupus familiaris (dog). It matches the Rfam family "tRNA". Rfam says of the family: Transfer RNA (tRNA) molecules are approximately 80 nucleotides in length. Their secondary structure includes four short double-helical elements and three loops (D, anti-codon, and T loops). Further hydrogen bonds mediate the characteristic L-shaped molecular structure. tRNAs have two regions of fundamental functional importance: the anti-codon, which is responsible for specific mRNA codon recognition, and the 3' end, to which the tRNAs corresponding amino acid is attached (by aminoacyl-tRNA synthetases). tRNAs cope with the degeneracy of the genetic code in two manners: having more than one tRNA (with a specific anti-codon) for a particular amino acid; and 'wobble' base-pairing, i.e. permitting non-standard base-pairing at the 3rd anti-codon position. RNAcentral also lists the same sequence under 2 other names. The record is from Rfam by way of RNAcentral. Lineage: Eukaryota; Metazoa; Chordata; Mammalia; Carnivora; Canidae.
ACCUGGGUGGCUCAGUGGUUGAGCAUCUGCCUUUUGCGCAGAUUGUGAUCCCAGGUU